This 337-nucleotide ribosomal RNA is filed under the name uncultured bacterium. RNAcentral describes it as "bacterial SSU rRNA". It matches the Rfam family "Bacterial small subunit ribosomal RNA", at positions 354 to 707 of the family's 1533-position model. The record is from RNAcentral.
UGGGGGAAUAUUGCACAAUGGAGGAAACUCUGAUGCAGCAACGCCGCGUGAACGAUGAAGGCUCUUGGGUCGUAAAGUUCUGUUCUGAGGGAAGAAGAAAGUGACGGUACCUCAGGAGAAAGCCCCGGCUAACUACGUGCCAGCAGCCGCGGUAAUACGUAGGGGCGAGCGUUGUCCGGAAUUACUGGGCGUAAAGAGUACGUAGGCGGUCAUGCAAGCGCAUGGUGAAAGGCAUAGGCUCAACCAAUGUCAGCCAUGCGAACUGCAUAACUUGAGUGCGGGAGAGGAAAGCGGAAUUCCUGGUGUAGCGGUGAAAUGCGUAGAUAUCAGGGAGAAC